GAGCCAGCAGGAAAAGGAGGAUUGAUAUUUGGUCCUCCUGACAACUCGGAUACUCAGUCUGGCACUUCUGAAUCAGGAAAUUCAGCAUGUGCUGGAAGGAUAAUGCUGAAUGACUCUGAUCCUUUGCUGCCCUCCUCUGGCUCUCCUUUUCAUUCAGCUCUGCAGGGAGAAACCAUUCGAACCUUUAAUGCUGUGUCAGCGUUUCAGGGUGAGGACAGUGGUGUCCGUACUAUGGAACAAGCUGUAAGUUCACAGCCAGUACCAUUAGAAUCUGAGUCUAAUACUGACAACAUGGAAAAUAGUUCUCCUGCAUCAGCUUUGGAUGAUAAAGGUGAGCAAAGCAAUGAGGAGGAGCAAAAAACUAUCAAGCCUACAAGUAAAGAGUUCAGGAAAACCUGGGGGUUUCGAAGGACUACAAUUGCUAAGCGAGAAGGUGCAGGAGAUACUGAUGUGGACUGUAGUGAACAACAGCCACAACAGCAGCAACAAAGCUUAAACCUCAGGCGUAGUGGUCGGCAACCAAAGCGAACAGAGAGAGUGGAAGAAUUUCUUACAACAGUAAGACGCAGAGGAAGGAGGAGUGUUCCUACUACUCUGGAAGAUUCAAGUGAACCAGCAUCCUGUCCAGCUACAGAUGCUGAAACUGCUUCAGAAGACAGUGUUGAGAGCACUCCCGAUAUAAAACCUGUGACUCGGAGGAUUAACACUAGGAGUAGCAAGGAUCAGAAAGGCUCUAAAAGCAGAUGCACAAAAGAGGAAGAAGAAGAGGAGGAGGAGGAGGAGGAGGAAGAGGAAGAGGAAGAUGAUGAUACUUCUGAUAGUGAUAGUGAUGGGUUAACACUAAAGGAGCUGCAGAAUCGACUAAGAAAGAAACGUGUUGAACAGAAACCUGUGCAGCUGACAUUGAAGGAUAUACAGAACCGUCUGAGGAAAAGAAAUUCAGAACAAGAUCCUACAGAAACAGGUGAUGUCCAGCCUGAAAAACAAGGUGAGUCUGAGUUGCCUGUCAAACAAGAGCCUGAGACUGCAGACAACACUGAGAUUGCAAGUCAAGUGAUUGUGUCUGAGGAAGACACUGAAGAUCUUCAGGUUCAGAAGGAGGUAAAGCCUGCUCUUGGUGCAAAAGGGAUCACAGAUGAAGAACCCGAAGAACUGCCCAAAAGCAAACCUGAGUCUGAGAUUUAUGACCCAAAUGCACUGUACUGUAUUUGUCGUCAGCCUCAUAACAACAGGUUUAUGAUUUGUUGUGAUAGAUGUGAGGAAUGGUUUCAUGGUGACUGCGUGGGUAUUUCUGAAGCUCGAGGGCGAUUGUUGGAAAGGAAUGGCGAGGACUAUAUCUGUCCGAACUGCACCAUUCUACAGGGACAGGAUGAGCCUGCUUCAGAAAUAGACCAGCAGGAAGCUAAAGCGGGGCAAGUAAAUGUGGAUGGCACAGAAUUCACAAGCAUAGGAACAAUUGAACAAAAAUCUGUUGAGGACCAAGGAAUCAAGGGUAGGAUUGAAAAAGCUGCAAAUCCAAGUGGGAAGAAAAAACUAAAGAUAUUUCAACCUGUAAUUGAAGCUCCUGGUGCAUCGAAGUGCAUUGGUCCUGGCUGUUUUAAUUUGGCUCAGCCUGAUUCUGUGUAUUGCAGCAAUGACUGCAUUCUCAAACAUGCUGCAGCCACUAUGAAGUUUUUAAGUGCUGGCAAAGAUGCAAAACCAAAACCUAAAGAGAAGAUCAAACCAAAAUCUGAAAAACCUGGGAUGCCAAAAUCUCAACUGCAGGCAGGUAUUAAGCCUCUUUCAAACCAAAAGAGACAAUUUCCUGAGAAAAGAGAGAUGAAUAUGAAGAAGACUGUUUUGACAACUGCCAAGACUGAGGCAAACAUUCAACCUAUUGUUAAAGAGCCAGCAGCAGAAAACAGCACACCGUCCUGGGCAAGCGAUCAUAAUUACAAUGCUGUAAAGCCUGAAAGGACUGCUGCCAUUUCAUCUUCACUGUUGUUCAAAUGUAUGUAUCGCAUAGGGAUAUUCCUGAAUAAUCAUUUACAUUUUCUUUGAAUAUCCAUCCAUUCUUGGCUCUGCAAGACUAGGGAGUUUAGGAUUUGGGGUUUUUUUUCUUAGUAUGGCACCAAACUACUUUUCGCCACCUUCAAAGAUUCGCACACAGAGAUACACACAAAUGGGAGACACUUUUAGAAGUUUCAUUUGUAUCAUGUGUCAGUUGUAUGAUUAAGAGCCUAUCAAUCUACCCAGCUGAUUUCUGGAUGAAAACUACAUGAUUAAGCUUUAAAUUUUUCCUAUAAAGACAGUAACUGUUUCUAAUCUAGAAAAGGUAAGUAUUGAUACAUUUGUGUUAAGUUUUACAAAAAGGUUGCACAGCAUGCACUGUGAAUCAGCAGUUGACUGUACUAAUUUGAAUUGUAUUUUUGUAAUUUAGAUUUGGCACCUGUCUCUCAGGUCUUGCAUUUUCAGUGCUAGUGCCGAGAAUGAAAUCUUCAACGUGGUAUCCAACGAUACUUUACACUUCUGCAAACAGCUUUUAACUGUCAAGUAUAUCCAAGUUCUUCCUGCUGCCUUUCUUCCUUACAUGAAAUAAUUUAAGGACCAUUCUUUACUUUUAAGUUUGGGGGGGAGGCAGUACUCUUUUUUUUUUUUUUUUUUUUAAUUUAUUUUUUAUUUUUCCCCUCCCCCUGCCCCCGUCUGUUUGUACGUUCAUACUUCACACAUUAUCCACACACACAAGAACACAUCUUAAGUGGAUAUUAGGCAGAGAUAUUGCCUUGCAUAUUUUUGCAGGUUUUGAAUAGCAUCCUUGUAACUCAUAUAAAGGUAAGUAAAUACUGCUUUGUAGCCUGAACAAGUCUUUCUGCUAAUGACCGUUUUUUGAUUGACUCCAGCUAAGUAGUUUUAUAAUGCAGCGGUGGAACUUCAGAUGAAAUCUUACAUUUCACAUUUACAAAACACACGACCUGGUGUCUGAUGUUUACUCACUUGAAGAUUAAUGAAUUCAGAAAUUCAGUUCUCACAGCUUGCUUAACCACUCUUUAGCCAAUUUACAUUUUAUUUUCAGAAAUAAACCUAGUUAUUAAACACAUACAUUCUAUGUAAAGUAACUGUUAAGUUUAUAACUUAUCUUUAAGAUGAGAUUUUUUUUAGAUGUAAUUUUUAAACACUGAGGGAACACCAGCUACCCUAAAUUGCUGUUUAUUAUUAUAGCACAUAGUAUGACUUCCUAGGUAUGUUUUAAUUGUAUUUACCCACAUCAAAUGUUGAAAUGGGUAUAAUUUUUCCCUGCAUAUUUUUGUUGCGUAUUUUGUUACUUGGGCCCUGUGCCUUUUUUAUAGUGCACUCUUAAGAUACAUAUUUUGACAAACUUGCAUUUUUUAAGCUUCUUCUAAAGAAACUGUAGCUUUUUUUGUCAGAAACAGUAGUGUGUUAAACAUAACUAAAAUUGAGAAAGAUGUAAAUGAAACUAUAAGGGCUUAUUUUACAUGUCAAAUCUUUGUGACACUUUCUAUCUUAAUAUAAUUGCAAGUGUCCAUAUAAUCAUAUCACUUAAAAUGUCCUUAUUGCUAUAGGGUUUUUUUUUCUAGGAGACAGGAAUACAGGUUUUGAGGCAACAAAUUUGUUUUUUAAGGGGGUGUUGCUCUUAAGUUUUACCACACUGGUGGUUAUACAGAUUUAACCAAUUCCAGUAGAAAAUCGGAUUCCUGUAGCUAAAUUUUUAAAUUAGUUCAAAAAUAUGUGUAUAUACCAGACUUUAAUAACGAACAGAAAACAACCUAGUUCGUGUGAUGAAGAACUCUCGUACCAAAUGCAAGGAAGACCUUUGGAUUGCUAUUAUUAAGGUAAGUUGUACUAAUAUGUGGGGACUCUGUGCCAUUACUAAAUUCCCAGGUAAAUUGUUUGUGUAUUUGUGAAAAAAAUUGUCCUGCUUUUUGAUGGAUGGGUUUGAUCUGUAAUCUUCUGAGAAGCUGCCAUUGCAUCAUCUUCUAAGAGUAUUCUACAAUAUUUUAUUUAUGUAACAAAUCUUUAUAUGCUCUUCAAAAACAUAGAAGUUACAGCAUUACGGAAAUUCGUGAGAGUCAUCUCACUUCACUUAGGGUAUCUAAAAGUUAGAACUCUUUAAGACUGAGCUAGUCUAUCAAGAAAAACACCUUCAGUGGACAAAGCAUACCAUCUGUUUUAGACACUAAUCUCAGAACAAAGUGACUCGCUGUUUAGAAAUGUGUGUUUCUGAACAUUGAAUAUGAAGGACGUUUAAGAUGAAUAGUUCAGGCAUCUAGGUGUCUAAUGUUUGGACUUAAGGUCACCUAGAGGAGGCUAAGGACAGGAUUCUUCCAUAUACAGUGUUUCAAAAUACCACCCGCAUCCUCCCAGAGCUUCAAGCCAUGUUCCGCAAAUCCUUACUUGCGACUUCAGUGCACAAGGCCCUUUAGGAAUUAAGGAAACUUAACACGAUUAGCAGAAUUGUUCUCUCUAAUAUUCUUUCCAUUAGUCAGUUUAUCAUAUUUCAGACAUGGAUUUACUUUAUACGUUUACUCUGUACUUGUCAGAUACAAGAUUUUGUUGUUAGAUAUGACAGUAGUUUCACUAGUAGCAAGAAGAAAAUCAAGCCAGUCUUACAGAUGUACUGGGUGAUAGGGGCAUGUAGUAUAUUUGCAUCUAAACCCUGCCACCAAGCCCCCUUUUCUCUUCCCAACCUGUUCUGCAUUUAAAAAAGAAAAGAAAGGACACUUGGUGCUAGUAGUAUGCAGUUAUAUAGAGCAGCGAUUUUUUUUUUUUUUUUUUUUUUUUUUCUUCUCUGUUACUCCAUUGGUUUGUGUUUCUACAUAAUUUUUUUUCUGUAGCUUUUUCUGGGGAUGAGUUAGGGCUGUACUUGGAAGUGACUUUGUACACGAAAAUCUGGAGCCUGAUUAAUGACACUGUCUUACAUCUUGAUAUUCCCAGUGAAAAUAAUCCUUUUUAUUCAUUUAAUAACUACAGUAGGAAAUAGCUUGAACUUGCUUUGAUGAGUGAAUACUAAGUACAAGUACUUUUAAAGUUGCAGUCAGUAUUUGAACUACACAUAGAAGAGGAAAUUAGAUAUGUGUCACAUUCCCUUUCAGAGGUGUUGCUUUUAAUUUCAUUAGGAAAAUUGGUAUUAAUGUAAUAUGCAGUGCUAAACUUCUAUAUUGAAUUUUAAGCCAUCCUAGCUUCCAAAUUGAUACAAGUAUAUGGAUUGUUGAGAUUUAGGAACAUUAUUGUUCAGAGAUUCAAGUUGUGAUAGAAAUCCUGAAUUUGUCAUGUGAGCUAGUGUUAAUUAUCAAUAUUUAGGUCAUAUCUAAGGAGAUGUAAAAUUCAUAACAAAAGCAAAACAGACUGUUGUUUUAUCUAGUAAGAUCACCUAGGUGUCUGUGGGGAAGCACCAGCCAAAAUGAUUUCUGAAAUGUUUUCAGUUUCGUUAGCAGACUGACAUACAUCUUACAGUAAUAGGAAGCAUUAUUUUUAAUUAUACUGGAGGAGGACAAACUUUAAACAGCAUAAUAUAUGCACAUUUUUUUCCUUAAGGAACAACAAAAGCAGUUGGCGUCCACUGCUUUACUCUGCUGAGAGCUUUUACACUUCAAGUUUUAUACUAAAUAAUAUCAUGUAUUGCAUUUGUAAUAAUAUUUGUCCAUUAUAUGCACUGCUGCCCUGUAAGAAGGGGGUAAAAGAACACUUCAGACAUGAAGUUUGUUGAUGCAGAGGUUUAUCAGCAGUAUCAAUGUAUAUAUCUGAAGCACCUGAACUCAGGUUUCUGCUUGAUAGAGCAAAACUUGAAAGAGACUUUUUUCUAUAUUUUUGCUGUUAAUUGCCAAAUAAAAGUCGUUAGCAAAUGUAUCAGCAGUUUUAAAAUAGAAGAUGAAUCCAAAAGGGCGGGAAAGAAGAUAGACGUUUGUGGUAUCCCAAUUUUGAAACUGUCCAGUUAUAAGUAUACUUAAGUACUUAUCAGUGCUUCAAAUCUUUGUUGAAGUUCAGCUGACUUACCUUAUUAGACUUAGAAGAAAUACAUGAACCAGUAAUUUCCUGAACUCAGGUGUUAAAGCUACUUAAACAUCUUAACUGCAUUUAUUGAUAAAAGUAACUAAGCGCACAGGAGAGUUCUUGUGGUAGAACUUCCUGAGUAAAAAGCACACCAAGCCACUAAACUUCUGUUUACUUAACUGUAGACAGAUAAAUAGUAUGAGCUUAUAGCUAUCUAUUGUAACAUGUUAUUUGGUGCUAGUAUUUCAAAGAAGUUGUUCACGAGUGGCACUUCGAAGGGGAAGUAUUUCAUUAAGAGAAAAGCACAAGGGUUUUGGUACCUCUCCUGCUUUUUACAGCAGUGAAUUACAGAGACACAACUUCAUGCUGCCACCUCCUGGAAGUGGGAGGCCAGGUUUGAGGAGCCCUGGCUCUGGUGAUACAAAUUUCCUUUUAUUAUCCCCUUUCAGUUUUCUUUCUUCUGCAGCUAAACUUUUCUAUACCCAAGACCUAUUCACAAAGUGAAUAGCGCCUGCUUGUACAGUUAGAGAUCCCAGAUACAAAGGUCACUUGGACUGCUUUGUUCCUAUACACUCCUAACAAAAUAUGGAGACGCUGUAAAGGGAAUACAGUGAUACUGGAAGCCCAUCAUCAGAAAAUGUGAUGCGCAUACCAAAAUGCUAGGAUUAUAGCAUAUAUAAUUUAUGUAUUUUUUUCUUGUGUCAUUUUUUUUUUUCUUUCCGUAAUAACAGUAUGAAGGCAGGAAAGAAAGAAAAUAUCCCACUAUAAAUAGAGCAGGAGGAAAAUGUAGUACACUCAAGACAGGAGUUACGGCUCAGGAGGCAAUAGUGAUGUAGGAAGCUGUAAGUACCAUUGCGAAAAGGAAAAAGUAAGGCCUUGUUUGCACACUGACUAGUGUCAAUAUAAUGCUUCUCUUUGGGCAAGAUUGUACCAGCUUAAGUUGUGACUAUUCAAUUGAGUGCAGUGUAUGUGGAUAUACUGCUGUUGGUUUAGCUUAACUAUUAAAAAAUAUUUUACUUAAACUGAGGAGCCGUUCUUAAGUCAUAAGUAUGUUUGUCUGCAAGGACUGACUAGUUAAACUUGAUGCCUUUGUUUUGGUGUGAGUGCUUCCCCACAGGAAAAACUAGCCUGUGCCAAGUUCCAUACUGUUAUAACUAAACUACUUCUGGCAUCUGAAUUAACUCCUUGAAAGCUAAGGUGUCUUUGCUUAAUGCUGUGUUCUGCAAUGUAGACCCUUAUUAAGAGUCAAUAGUAUUGAGUAGUACCAGGGGAAUAAAAAAAAAUUAUUUUACGUUACUGGCCAUUUUCUGGGACACGUGGCUGCUGUAUAGGUAGGUCUAGCCUUAACUCUUUGUAACUAGGGGAGUUUUCAGAAAGGCUGCUGACAGACCAAAUAAUGAUCAGAAUACCUAAGAUGAGUCUGCCAGAACUUCUGAGAAAUUCAUGUUGGAGAUCUUCUGGCUUUGGAAAGAUUAUAGUACAGGAGUGGCUGGUGUAACGCAGCUCCGGUGCUGACCUUGCAUCGUGAGAGUGGCAGGGGCUGUGCUGGCACAUGAUCUGAACCCUGGCUGUGGAGUGAGGCAGACCAGUAGUGGCUGCUGAAGCCAACAUUCCCUGGGACCCAGCCAAUUAAAAGGAGCAGUGGGAUCCUUGGGGAGCAAUUAUCAUCUCCUGCCUGUGAACUACUGGAGCUCCCCUUCUCUGCUCUACAAGGUAUGUUAACAUCUGUCCUGUGGCUGUCAGCCACAUGAAGAUUUUUGCCAUGUCUCUUAAGUUAGGAAGGCUGGUCCCGACUCCUGGCAUGUUUCCUAUUUUGCCUUUCAAGCACCUAGCACCCCCAAGGCGCUUGGACGACAGAAAGCCAGCACUCUUGCCAUAAUGGGUGCGUGGCUUCAGUAUAAGGAACCAUUGCUGAGGGGAAGGGUUGGGGGGGGGCAGAAACCUGGUACAACUUACGGAUGCACUAUGAAUAUUAGGGUGGUUUAUCUCUUGUCAUCAACACUGAAAGUGAUGAAAGUUUGAUUAAAAAAACUCACCACCCUCUAUUGCUGUUUUGCUUUCUUUUACUAAUAUUACUUUAGUUCUUUGAACUUGCUCACUUGACUGCAUAGCCAGUGAAAAAGAUCUUUCUCUGCUAGUCCCCAAAUAAAAGGGAUUUUUUGAGGUGAUCACUGGCACUUUGGAGUCAAGUUUUGCUGCUGAUCUUGGUGCUGAUGAUUCACUGUGUGAUCUGUACUGAACUUGGAACCUGAAGAUGGCCUGUCCCUGCAAGGACUGAUGAUACCAAUCCAUGAACGGUCUGGAAAAUGAGGAGCCCUUUUUUUUUUGCCUCUUUCACUCGGGAGUGGUGUAGUUGUGAAGAUGCAGUCGGCUAAUGUAGAUCAGAUAAAUCACUAUAAUUUCAUGUAGAUUAAAAUAAACAAAGCUUUGCCUGUCUAAGCUACAGAUUUGCAUGAGCAUAGCUACAGCCUUGGCUUGAAUGCAAACAAAUCACCACCACAGAAAAGGCCCUUGUCUCAGAGUUUCCUAAAUUAAUUAACUUUAAAGACAGGUUUACUUUCUUUGUGUGCCUGAAUGUAAGGGCUUGGCACACAGGCAGCUUGAUUACGAGCUUCUCAUUGUGGUGCAGAUUAGAACUGAUAGAGGCUUUUGAAGAAAAGCAGGGCAGGGGGCACACCUCUGAAACACUAUAGUGUUUAAUAAUAAAGUCUUGAAAGUGGAAGCAGACACAUUGUUCCAUAGGCAAUUAACAGUGAAAAACUAACAGUGAAACCUAUUUAAGAAUAGUUCAACACUUCUGAAUUAUUUAGAACUAAUGCUAAACUAUCUUUGAGGGAAAUGACAAAAAGUCUAGCAAAAACAGGUUUCAGGAAAGCAACAGUUGAACGGUCGUGGAACUGAAGCGGUUACAAACUACACCUCACCUUCACAGCCUUGGGCACUGAAUGUUCGGUGCCACAAGAGGGUGCUUCAGUGGCACCUAACAGCAUUGACUCUUCGACAAGUUUCUGAGGCUCUGAGAUGUCAGGCAUGCAUUCCAGCAGUGUGACUAUGCAAAGGCUGCUCUUGAGGAACGUCUCGUAACUGAAACUUGUUAACUACCAGCUUUCUCACUGUUGAUGCCACACAAACUUGUAUGCUGUGCAUACAUUUGAUAGUUGUGGGUGGUGGUUUUUUUUCCUAAAACUGUUUUAGUGACAGAGGAGCAUGAAAAAUAUCCGUAGAACCCACACGUGCUUCACCAGCCUCCAUGCUGGGGGCUUGUAAAGGCUCGCCAGUGUGCAAGGCAGUGUCUUCUGAAGUGUUGGGUUGCCAGCAUCCUGCUCCCUUGGGCCAGUGCUCCCACUGUGGAAAGUUCUGUGCAAGCUGGACAAGACGACGCAGCCAUCAGCCUGUGCUCUCUGCACACUGCCAUGAGGAAUAGUAUCCUGGGGAAAAAAGUGGAUUAGUGUAGAUGGAAGAGAACACAGGGAAAUGUUAAGAGUAUAUUAGACACCGGAGACAAUAGUUCUGGUGUAUGAACAGCCUUAUGCCAGACUUAAUUCUGUAGGGAAACUUCUCAUAAUUGGUACUAUGUAACAAACAAUCUGCUUACAUGGCUGCAAGACAUUUUUCACAAAAGUCUUUUUAAAAAAGUGUUCUGUAGUAGUAGCUGUGAUCCUUUUUUAUUUUUUUGCAAAGAUUUUUUCAAAGGAAAAAAAUCUGAGCCUUACAGACUCGUUAUGAGACAGACUCUUGAAGUGUAACUGCCUAUGGUUUGUCUGCAGCAUCGUUUAAAACUUUCAGCAUCAACUACAGCAAGAUCUUUAAUGUGUGAUUUGAAUAAUUUUAAAACUAUACAAACAAAAGUAAUAGCACAUUUCCUUAGGUAUUUAAAAGUUGGAAAAACUAGAAAACGUCUCUGGGCAAACAACCCGUCAAAAAUGAGAUAAUUUAAAUAGAAACUAAGGGUCGUGGUGUACUGUUGAAGUGGCUUUCUAAAGCUACUAUUCCAAAGAAAGAUUGGGUGGAGAGGGAAAGAGGGAAGAACCAGCAUAGGCUUGAAUGCUCUACAGAAAUAUUUUUAAGAGAUCAGAGGAGGAGCAAAGUUCCCUUUCCAUGCUGGUAGUGUAAAACACAGCCUCCCAGUGUAGGUGAGGGAUUAUGAUACGAGUGCAUCCCACAAAUCCUUCACGCAAAAUUAAAACAGCACGACACUGGAAAUCAUUUUUAAAUUAGGCCUGAACAACCACAUUAACAAUGCUGAAACAUCAAUGUUGAGAUGUACAAAAGUGAAGGAUACCUAACCAUCAGGCUUUCAACAGGCUUGUCUGUAACACAGUAGAUAAUGUAGCAGUUAAUGUCCCCCACUGCUUACAGAAGUUCCAUUCUUAGCUGCACGUUGUGAUAUUUGGCUUAGCUUCACGGGGAAUUUCCUUAGCGAGGGGUUCUGUAUCUGUUGACAUCUAGUGGGAGAUAUUAUAGUUAAGCCUGUAGUGAACAUACCAUAGUAAUGCUAUUUCUUAAGCCUUGCAAGGAAUGCCCUUUUUUUGCCAGAGGAUUCAUUGGGUUUCACUCUGGAAAUGAACUGACUCAUUAGCUCUAUCUGAACCUCUCAGUCUUUUUAGCCCGUGCCUCUUCAGUCAGUAAGAAUCCUGUUGCUGUCCUAAUAAGUGCCUCACAGGACAAAAUGGGGGAAAUGGGAAUUAAUGUUUUGUUUUGUUUUAAAUACCAUUUCUAACAUCAAGCCAAGGGAGGUACACCUGUGUGUUCAAAAGUGCCAAAUAGAAGAGCUACUAAAUGCCUUAUUCUGGCACUAAUCUUCUGCCUCUGGUGAAACUCCCUAUUAUUCUGUUAGGCUGGACAGGCUAAUGUUCAGUAGUCAUCUCUAUCCUUUUAUUUUAAAUUUAAGAAUGUUUAUUGUAGGUACCCUGGAGCUACUGAUGGAAAGGACCGGCAACAUCACAGUAUAAAAUACAGUGGCCAGUAUGUAUAGUAGGCAUUGACUGCGUCUUCAAGUUGUUCGUGGACUGCAAAGCCAAGCAAUUUGAAACUCGUGGUCUGAGAGAAUACCUGUUCCAUCAUACGUCCCAUCAACUUGCUGAGUGACUGUGGCAUCUGUUUAGAAGUUAAAUUCCACAUAUGUUGGCAUGCUGCUCUGAAAGGAGUACAUAUUUCUAUUAAUUCUUCCAAACAUAAUACUUGCCACAGUUUCUUACCUAUCAGAAGACAGUGUAAGCUUUGGGGUGUGCCGAUGUUGCAGCUAAGUCAAUAGAAGAGCAAGCUCCCACCAGAAGAGGCAGUCCUGCUCCUUCCUCAGCUGGGUGCUCCUGUGCGUUGGAUCUAAGACCCAUGUAAUGACACAGGGAGUUGGUUCAGCCGAAUUACGUGGCAGCACAUUAAUCUUGUCACUAAAGACCAAAACUUGAUAGGACAAAAAUUCUAGUUUCUCAUAGUCAAAAUAGGAUAAGAGGUUUUUUAGAUUAUGUUCAACUACAGCCAUCAAAAGUUAUUCAUGUAUGUAGGAUUUAAGUAGUCUCGAUUCCUUGUCAAAAUGAGCACGUGAUCUGACUGUCCUUCAAAUAGUGAUGUGUCCUGUAAAUUUGCAAAAGUAGUUGGUAGGUGUUCUGAAGCACUGAAUGACCUACAUGUGACUGAAUUAGUACAUACAAAAUCUGUACCAUCAAUUUCUCCAAUCAACAGGUACUGCUAGGUGGACAGUUUUAAUUGGUAUAAAGUAAUAUCGUAGUUUGAAACUUUAUGAAGCUUAUGAAGUACUUGCACAUCUUCUGUUGCCGUGCUAAAGCAGCGCAGAAUUACACGCCUUACUUUGGAAACCUUUCUAAAUAGUCACGGUAUCAGCUUGCAGAAUAAAGGAUGCUUCUGCAUCUUUCUUCUCGGACCCUUUUUGAUUCUGCUGCCCUUCAACCCUGGGAACUUCAAUCUACCUUUGUACUAGUACCAUUUAUUUAUUUUACAAGUACGUAUUCUUACUAUGAUAUAGCUGUGUAACAUAGAGAGGUUUGUGGUGUGGAUAUAGUUCUCAUAUAUAUACAACAUCUGAUUGACACAAAACUUCUUGUGCUAUUUUUAGUUUUAUCAGCGUAGUUCUUGUUAACUAAUUUGAACUAAUGAUUAAAAAGAUAGUGUAUAGAGGAUUAAAUACAAACUUAGAAUUUCAUAUUUUGUACUUCUGCUGUAAACCUAAAGAACUAAAUGUCUUAGCACUGAGGACUGAAUUUCACUGUCAUCAUUUUGAAACCCAAGCUGUGCUGUCCUGCCUUACCAUGAUGAGUCACAGAAACGUGCUUCUGUCCUACCUGCCUGAAAAGGUACAAUUCUGUGCAGAAGAUGCAAUAAACCGGGAAAAAGAGAA
Molecule: RNA transcript, 12343 nt
Organism: Aquila chrysaetos chrysaetos
Lineage: Eukaryota; Metazoa; Chordata; Aves; Accipitriformes; Accipitridae
Gene: DIDO1
Gene name: death inducer-obliterator 1
Exons: 7
Source: RefSeq, a predicted model, not a curated record